GGCCUUUUGAUAAUAAUUUAAGGUCGGGCCUGCCCAAUGAUUAAUUUAAUGGCCGCGGUAUAUUAACUGUGCAAAGGUAGCAUAAUCAUUAGUUUUUUAAUUGAAAGCUGGAAUGAAGGGUUUAAUGAAAAAAGUUCUGUCUCUACUUAAAUUUGUUAGAAAUUUAUUUUUAAGUUAAAAAGCUUAAAUAGUUAUUAAAGACGAGAAGACCCUAUAGAGUUUUAUAUCUAGAGAAUAUAUUUUAUUUAGAAUUUUAAAAUUAUGUUUUUCAGGUAUUUUGUUGGGGUGAUAGAAAAAUUUAAUAAACUUUUUUUAAAAAGAACAUUUAUAUAUGAAUAUUUGAUCCUUUUUUAAGAUUAAAAGAUAAAAUUACCUUAGGGAUAACAGCGUAAUUUUUUUUAGAGUUCUUAUCGAAAGAAAAGAUUGCGACCUCGAUGUUGGAUUAAAAUUAAUUUUUGGCGCAAAAGCUAAAGAGAUUGGGUCUGUUCGACCUUUAAAUUUUUACAUGAUCUGAGUUUAGACCGGUUUGAG
Molecule: ribosomal RNA, 531 nt
Filed under: Calacalles droueti
Lineage: Eukaryota; Metazoa; Arthropoda; Insecta; Coleoptera; Curculionidae
Also listed under: 1 other name
Description: partial 16S ribosomal RNA
Rfam family: Bacterial large subunit ribosomal RNA
Source: RNAcentral